AAAAAAACAUAAAUAUAUUAUAUCUAUAAUACAAUUUGUUCUCUUUAUCACUUCUUUUGUACAACUGUAUUUUUAAAAAUGUUUUAUAAUUAAUAAUAUGAAUCUUCUUGUUUAAGUUAGUGCAUUGUUUUUGCAUAUCUUGUGGAAUGCAAGCACGCACCCACUCACUCCUUACUAUACCAACAUACUGUGUUAGCGUCCAACAAACAACAUAGAUGUCAUGACUGAUGUACCAACUCCUCACAGGGAUUGUACCAGCCUCUGGCAUUCUCUCACAAACUCACAGCCACAAACAAUGGGUCUCAGGCCUCCCAAUUCAAAAAUACUAUGAAGUACCCUUGAAGUACUCUUGAAGUACUGUAUGUAUAUGAAUAUAUGUAUGGCACAGUUUGUUGGGGAUAUAUAGAAACCAAAAUAAUCUAUACUGUAGAAAUAGGAUGGUGGGGGAAGGGGUGGGUGAGUGGAAGUCUCUACUUAAACGUUCACAAGCUUUGCAUUAUUUUGGAGUGGAGUGUCAUCGUUUCAAGUAAACAUUCAUCAGGCUAUAUGGCUAUAAGUGUGAGCCUUCAGAGAGGAGCUUAGUUACCCUGCAGCUAGCUAUACAACAUGGAUGGUAAAGUGGUAGGAUGGUAACAUGGUAGGAUGAUAAAGUGGUAGAAUGGUAACGUGGUAGGAUGGUAACUUGGUAGGAUGGUAAAGUGGUAAGAUGGUAAAGUGGUAGGAUAGUAAAGUGGUAGGAUGGUAACGUGGUAGGAUGGUAAAGUGGUAGGAUGGUAAAGUGGUAGGAUGGUAAAGUGGUAGGAUGGUAACUUGGUAGGAUGGUAACUUGGUAGGAUGGUAACGUGGUAGGAUGGUAAAGUGGUAAGAUGGUAAAGUGGCAGGAUGGUCACGUGGUAGGAUGGUAACUUGGUAGGAUGGUAACGUGGUAGGAUGGUAAAGUGGUAAGAUGGUAAAGUGGUAGGAUGGUAACGUGGUACGAUGGUAAAGUGGUAAGAUGGUAAAUUGGUAGGAUGGUAACGUGGUACGAUGGUAAAGUGGUAAGAUGGUAAAGUGGUAGGAUGGUAACGUGGUAGGAUGGUAAAGUGGUAGGAUAGUAACGUGGUAGGAUGGUAAAGUGGUAGGAUGUAAAAUUUGGAUUACUGUAACUAACAACAACUCUGGGAUAUAUAGGGAAUGGGAAAGACCGUCAUCAACAUUACAAUCUGUCCUGCAAGACUGAAAGCCCAAAGACCUCCUCAACCUUGAUGUUCAGACCCAUGAUAAAAAAAGGAUUUUGGACGGCGGAAAAAGCAUUGAAAAUCUAUAUUUUAUAAAUGUUUUAAGCUUGACACGUGUGCACUGUACAGACAACGUAGUGACAUCCUAGCCAGUCCUUACUGUACCACAGAGAUUCAUACUGUAUCAUCAGGACAGAUUUAUCACACUACAAUAUCAUUGAUACGGUGAACACUUUGAACAUCAUAUUUGCAUAAUUAGGUUGAUAAUAAUACACGAGUCAGUCUGAGUCAUGCUUACGGUCAGUCGCUCCACAAGGCAGAGACAUCCAACAGGAGAGGUACAAUCACAAUCCCACUAAUCAUGUAUGUCUCCCUGUAAAGUGUUUACUGGAAAAAGGAUCCUAACGCCAAUGUCCUGCUAUUACGUGGCAUUCCUUCUUUACGCACCGAAUAUUAUCUUUGUCUCUUUGUCUACGAGUACCGUCUGGCUGCAGUCUGUGAGUUAGGGUCAUUUAUUCCGUCUGUCGGCGAUGAUGUAAUGGACAGGAGCACAGAGCUUGUUCAGAUGCAUCUCAUUAGGCCUGGCAGGCCCAUAGAGUUGGAUAGAGGGCACAUUUGGCCAGUUUUAACAUAGAGAUGAGCUCUCUACUACAUAUCUAUGGGAGUGCCUAACAGGGUGAAAUAUAGUAAUCAUCAUGUCACAGCUCAGGUGUCGAAGGUCACAGAUCCCCUGUCUGAUUGGCUUAUCCUGUUCUGUUCUCUGAUUGGUCUAUCCCGUCCUGCCCUCUGAUAGGCUCCUUGAUGAGAUCUGAUGAAAACCUCUGUAGUUCAAUAUUCAGAACAACAAACAACCAUGAAAUAAUUAAAGCAGCGAUAGGAGUAAAAACACAGCUUUGGAAGCAUGCCUGUCAAAUGGUUUUCUGUUCAGGUGGUAGGGUGAUAGAUACAAGUGAAACAUGACACCAUACUUAGUUAAUGCUACCUUAAUUUAACCGUUUAGGUAUAGUGUUGCUUUUAAGAAACAGCGAUACAUAUUUCACCCCCUCACCUCCAAAUACAGCUUUCACCUCAGGGACAAAAUAAAUAAAUAAAUAAAUACAAUGUGUUUAAAAGAUGCAUACUAAUAGGUACACAUUUUACUACGUCCUGCCGCUGCACCCCACACACACAGGUUUCAAUACUUCUUAACUUCCUAAAAUCUCCUAAAAAAUAAAUCAAGCAAAAUCCACAGUUAGGGCCAGCACCCCGAUUUGGGCAAAAAUAAGGAUAAAUAACAUCAUGAAAAAUAACAAAUGAAGAAAUCAAGUCUGGCCAGUUUUGCACAAUACUGUUUGUGUGUGUGUGUAAAAUACAUGAAGUGGAUUGGAUUCUGAUCUGUGUGUUGUGGUGAUUAUAGCAACUUGGCACCAACACCUAGCCACUGUAUUGUCACAGACAAGAAAGGCCAUAUCUUACCUCAGCCCUGCCCAGUUUCUCCUCCUUUCCUACACUCAUCCCCCAAAACAUCCUACAGCGAGGAUAGCAGGAUGAACGGACCACUGAGGAGUUUAAAACUAUAACUGAUAAACGACUACAACCAAAACAAUGCAGAUUUAAUAACUGAACUGAGAGAGAGAGAGAGAGAGAGAGAGAGAGAGAGAGAGAGAGAGAGAGAGAGAGAGAACGGACGGAGGAUGGGAGGUUGAGGUAACCAUGGCAGCUAGGUGGCGCUGUCCCUGUUUAGGACGGCUGCAUGUGAUGAGGAAGUGGCGGCAUUAUGACAGAGAGGGAGGUGUGCGAGUGGUGGAGGGAGGAAAGAGGGAUGGAGGAGAGGAGAAGGGCGUAGGCUGUUGGUGGACAGUACGACAGCUGAGCAUGAUAAAGAUAAACACAUCCUGGAUGUUGGUGUCUCUCUGUGUCGCUCCCUGUCGUUGGCUCCUCCUUCAGAUCCUGGAUGUUGGUGUCUCUCUGUGUCGCUCCCUGUCGUUGGCUCCUCCUUCAGAUCCUGGAUGUUGGUGUCUCUCUGUGUCGCUCCCUGUCGUUGGCUCCUCCUUCAGAUCCUGGAUGUUGGUGUCUCUCUGUGUCGCUCCCCU
Molecule: long non-coding RNA, 3289 nt
Filed under: Salmo salar (Atlantic salmon)
Lineage: Eukaryota; Metazoa; Chordata; Actinopteri; Salmoniformes; Salmonidae
Description: lncRNA (ENSSSAG00000097222.1)
Source: RNAcentral